Molecule: ribosomal RNA, 90 nt
Filed under: Caerostris darwini
Lineage: Eukaryota; Metazoa; Arthropoda; Arachnida; Araneae; Araneidae
Source: RNAcentral
AACGGCCAUACCAUGCUGAAUAUACCGGUUCUCGCUAGAUCACCGAAGUCAAGCAUCAUUGGGCGCGGUCAGUACUUGGGUGGGUGACAU